This 250-nucleotide ribosomal RNA is filed under the name uncultured bacterium. Its description in RNAcentral is "partial 16S ribosomal RNA". It matches the Rfam family "Bacterial small subunit ribosomal RNA", at positions 524 to 773 of the family's 1533-position model. The record is from RNAcentral.
UACGGAGGGUGCAAGCGUUAAUCGGAUUUAUUGGGCGUAAAGGGCGCGUAGGCUGGCGAAUAAGUCAGAUGUGAAAUUCUGAGGCUCAACCUCAGAGCUGCAUUUGAAACUAUUUGUCUAGAGGGUAGGCGGAGAAAACGGAAUUCCACAAGUAGCGGUGAAAUGCGUAGAUAUGUGGAAGAACACCGGUGGCGAAGGCGGUUUUCUAGCUUACUCCUGACGCUGAGGCGCGAAAGUUAGGGGAUCAAAC